UAACCUGCCCAAGAGAUCGGGAUAACACCUGGAAACAGAUGCUAAUACCGGAUAACAACANAUGAUGCCUAUCAACUGUUUAAAAGAUGGUUCUGCUAUCACUCUUGGAUGGACCUGCGGUGCAUUAGCUAGUUGGUAGGGUAACGGCCUACCAAGGCGAUGAUGCAUAGCCGAGUUGAGAGACUGAUCGGCCACAUUGGGACUGAGACACGGCCCAAACUCCUACGGGAGGCAGCAGGG
Molecule: ribosomal RNA, 240 nt
Filed under: uncultured Lactobacillus sp.
Lineage: Bacteria; Bacillati; Bacillota; Bacilli; Lactobacillales; Lactobacillaceae
Description: partial 16S ribosomal RNA
Rfam family: Bacterial small subunit ribosomal RNA
Source: RNAcentral